GGGGCGCCUGUGGGAGCCGUGGAGGGAACUUUCCCAGUCCCCGAGGCGGAUCCGGUGUUGCAUCCUUGGAGCGAGCUGAGAGCUCGAGUACAGAACCUGCUAAGGCCAUCAAACCUAUUGAUCGGAAGUCAGUCCAUCAGAUUUGCUCUGGGCCGGUGGUACCGAGUCUAAGCACUGCGGUGAAGGAGUUAGUAGAAAACAGUCUGGAUGCUGGUGCCACUAAUAUUGAGAUAGAGUUUCUCCAUGUUGGUCAGGCUGGUCUCGAACUACUGACCUCAGGUGAUCCGCUCGCUUUGGUCUCCCAAAGUGCUGGGAUUACAGGCAUGAACCACCGCGCCUGGCCCCCGUUCUCCUUACUGGAUCUAAAGCUUAAGGACUAUGGAGUGGAUCUCAUUGAAGUUUCAGGCAAUGGAUGUGGGGUAGAAGAAGAAAACUUCGAAGGCUUAACUCUGAAACAUCACACAUCUAAGAUUCAAGAGUUUGCCGACCUACCUCAGGUUGAAACUUUUGGCUUUCGGGGGGAAGCUCUGAGCUCACUUUGUGCACUGAGUGAUGUCACCAUUUCUACCUGCCAUGUAUCGGCGAAGGUUGGGACUCGACUGGUGUUUGAUCACUAUGGGAAAAUCAUCCAGAAAACCCCCUACCCCCACCCCAGAGGGAUGACAGUCAGUGUGAAGCAGUUAUUUUCUACGCUACCUGUGCACCAUAAAGAAUUUCAAAGGAAUAUUAAGAAGUGAGUGAGCGCUCAUGGGAUCUGGUUGUUUAGAAGCAUGCACCACCUCCCGCUUCACUCUCUCUGUCUCUCCUGCUCCACCAUGGCCAGAAACGUGCCUGCUUCCCCUUCGCCUUCUGCCGUGAUUGUCAGUUUCCUGAGGCCUCCCCAGCCAUGCUUCCUGUACAGCCUGCAGAACUGUGAGUCAAUUAAACCUGUUUUCUUCAUAAA
RNAcentral lists this long non-coding RNA (943 nucleotides) under Homo sapiens (human). RNAcentral's name for it is "novel transcript". Lineage: Eukaryota; Metazoa; Chordata; Mammalia; Primates; Hominidae. The record is from RNAcentral.